Molecule: ribosomal RNA, 435 nt
Filed under: uncultured bacterium
Lineage: Bacteria
Description: partial 16S ribosomal RNA
Rfam family: Bacterial small subunit ribosomal RNA
Source: RNAcentral
AACGAACGCUGGCGGCAUGCCUAACACAUGCAAGUCGAACGAUUGCCUUCGGGUGAUAGUGGCGCACGGGUGCGUAACGCGUGGGAAUCUGCCCUUAGGUUCGGAAUAACAGCUGGAAACGGCUGCUAAUACCGGAUGAUAUCGCGAGAUCAAAGAUUUAUCGCCUGAGGAUGAGCCCGCGUUUGAUUAGGUAGUUGGUGGGGUAAAGGCCUACCAAGCCGACGAUCCAUAGCUGGUCUGAGAGGAUGAUCAGCCACACUGGGACUGAGACACGGCCCAGACUCCUACGGGAGGCAGCAGUGGGGAAUAUUGGACAAUGGGCGCAAGCCUGAUCCAGCAAUGCCGCGUGAGUGAUGAAGGCCCUAGGGUUGUAAAGCUCUUUUAACCGGGAAGAUAAUGACGGUACCGGGAGAAUAAGCCCCGGCUAACUCCGUG